RNAcentral lists this ribosomal RNA (1936 nucleotides) under Orbilia pleioeuonymi. Its description in RNAcentral is "eukaryotic LSU rRNA". The stretch from base 977 to 1936 matches the Rfam family "Eukaryotic large subunit ribosomal RNA", at positions 1 to 978 of the family's 3401-position model. The record is from RNAcentral. Lineage: Eukaryota; Fungi; Ascomycota; Orbiliomycetes; Orbiliales; Orbiliaceae.
UCCUUCUCGCAGUGACGCUUAUGAGAAGCCUUUGUGGCCCCGCAAGGGGUACUAACCGCGACUGUAAAUAAGAAUGUUGGUAUUAAAUCGCAAGUCAGUUCAAGCUGGCUACACUUUCGAAUUGCGGGGACACCCUAAAGCCUGCCCCUACCAAACCGGCGAGGAAACUCAGCUGGUGGCCUAUGCUAACACCAUAGGGUAUGGUAAGAAUGGAGCAGGAUAGGUAAUAUGGGUAAUCCGCAGCCAAGUCCCUAAGGCUUAUAGCUAUGGGAAAGGUUCACAGACUAAGUGGAAGUGGGCCAAGAGCAGGUAGCUCUGGCUUAAGAUAUAGUCGGUCCCUACAAGAAAUUGUAGGGGAGUCACCGGAUUCGGUUUGAAUCUGUCUGCUAAAUAAACGUUCCGUAGGUGAACCUGCGGAAGGAUCAUUACAAAUGAAUCAAAAGCUGUUGUAGGUCUCCUGCACGGCUGCCUGCGUGUGCUUUGCAUGCCUAGGUUUCAACCCAUUGUGAAUCAAAAUCUUUCAGCUUCGGUAGCAUGCCAGAUGGGGCAACCCAACUGCGCAGUCAGCCUGCCGGCAGCACCAAUAUAAACCCAAGUUAAUAACCUUCUGUCUGAAAAUCAUUUACGAAUGAAUUAAAACUUUCAACAACGGAUCUCUUGGUUCUCGCAUCGAUGAAGAACGCAGCGAAACGCGAUAGUUAAUGUGAAUUGCAGAAUUCAGUGAAUCAUCGAGUCUUUGAACGCACAUUGCGCCCCCUGGUAUUCCGGCGGGCAUGUCUGUUUGAGCGUCAUUUCAACCCUCAUGUAGUUGACUUUGUCAGCCGGCAUGGUGUUGGGCUCUGACCGGUCUUAGUUGACAGGCAGGCCUUAAAGUUGAAAGCUCUGCUGGUGACUUAAACCAAACCGAACAUAGUAAUUUUUCUUGUUCAGCGUAGGUAAAGUACAUCAAGCCUGAACAAAAACCCAUUCUAAGGUUUGACCUCAGAUCAGAUAAGGAUACCCGCUGAACUUAAGCAUAUCAAUAAGCGGAGGAAAAGAAACCAACAGGGAUUGCCUUAGUAACGGCGAGUGAAGCGGCAACAGCUCAAAUUUGAAAUCUGGAGUUUUCAACUUCCGAAUUGUAAUUUGAAGAGGAUGUUUCGGUUAUGACCAUGGCCUAAGUUCUUUGGAACAGGACGUCACAGAGGGUGAGAAUCCCGUACGUGGCUGAUGGUUUAUUUCCAUGUGAAACUCCUUCGAAGAGUCGAGUUGUUUGGGAAUGCAGCUCUAAAUGGGUGGUAAAUUUCAUCUAAAGCUAAAUACUGGCGAGAGACCGAUAGCGCACAAGUAGAGUGAUCGAAAGAUGAAAAGCACUUUGAAAAGAGAGUUAAACAGUACGUGAAAUUGUUGAAAGGGAAGCGCUUGCAAUCAGACUUGCCUGCGGUUGAUCAACGUUCCUUUUGGUGCGUGCACUCUGCCGUUUGCAGGCCAGCAUCGGUUAGGGCGGUGGGACAAAGACUCCAGGAAUGUGGCUCUCUUCGGGGAGUGUUAUAGCCUGGUGUGUAAUGCCACCUAUCCUGACCGAGGACCGCGCGUAAGCUAGGAUGCUGGCUUAAUGGUUGUAAGCGACCCGUCUUGAAACACGGACCAAGGAGUCUAACAUCUAUGCGAGUGUUUGGGUGUAAAACCCAUGCGCGUAAUGAAAGUGAACGGAGGUGGGAGUUCUCACGAAUGCACCAUCGACCGAUCCUGAUGUUCUCGGAUGGAUUUGAGUAGGAGCAUAGCUGUUGGGACCCGAAAGAUGGUGAACUAUGCCUGAAUAGGGUGAAGCCAGAGGAAACUCUGGUGGAGGCUCGCAGCGGUUCUGACGUGCAAAUCGAUCGUCAAAUUUGGGUAUAGGGGCGAAAGACUAAUCGAACCAUCUAGUAGCUGGUUCCUGCCGAAGUUUCCCUCAGGA